GCCCCCGUAGCUCAAUGGACAGAGUGAUGGUCUUCGAAACCAGAGGUUGCAGGUUCGAGUCCUGCCGGGGGCA
RNAcentral lists this transfer RNA (73 nucleotides) under Chloroflexota bacterium. RNAcentral's name for it is "Chloroflexi bacterium tRNA-Arg". It matches the Rfam family "tRNA". From Rfam's summary of the family: Transfer RNA (tRNA) molecules are approximately 80 nucleotides in length. Their secondary structure includes four short double-helical elements and three loops (D, anti-codon, and T loops). Lineage: Bacteria; Bacillati; Chloroflexota. The record is from RNAcentral.